RNAcentral lists this long non-coding RNA (911 nucleotides) under Mus musculus (house mouse). RNAcentral's name for it is "RIKEN cDNA 3010001F23 gene (3010001F23Rik)". The record is from RNAcentral. Lineage: Eukaryota; Metazoa; Chordata; Mammalia; Rodentia; Muridae.
CAGGAGCCAUGGCUUGGGAGGGCCCCAGGUUAGGGGCACACUCUCAUCCAGGCUAACCCCACUCUCCGGGCCUGGCGAGGAUGGAGAAGAGGUGCAGGUCCACAGCCAGAGGCAGUAGCAGAGCUUUAUGUAGGUCCAGUGCUGGACUCAGCUGAGUUGGGUAAAUCAGACUUGCUGCCUGCCCUUAUGAAAACCAUGAUCUGCUACCAACCUGUGGGCCAGGAAGUCAUGCACCUGCCUCUGGAUCCCUCUGGUACCUGUGAAAUCUAGAUCCCCAGGCCUGCUCUCUGGAAAUAUAAAUCUGGUAAAGACUGAAAUUGAAAGGUCUCACAUAUCUUGGGCUUGGUGAUGAACUAUUCAAGUACCUCCGAAUGGCAGUGUCUCCACAAGGGAAACUAGAAGAUAAAGCCUUUCUCAGCAGUUAUCUCUGGGGCCAGCUUUACCCACCAAAGGACUCCAGGGCUGUUGGGUAAAUGGCUGCCAUAAAGGAUCACACUUCACCAUGUCGCUUGGAUUGAGGCUGCUGUGGAUAAAAAUUCCUGGAAAAAAAGCUGUGUGAAAAAAAGCAGACCGACAGACUUAAGCUUCAAGGACUGGGGAGAGUUCAGAAUAUUACAGGGUCAUUUCCUAAUGAAAACUCUUCUAGUGCUAUCUUUAGCCCCUAAAGAGACAUUCUUGUCCACCUCUCUUUUGUAUUUAUCAUCCAUACAAACAGAUAAAAACUCUUUGGAAUGUAUUAACAACACCCCCUUCUCAGCCUGCCAAGGUGCUAAGAAGAAUGCUGUCACAUAGAAUCUGAGGUUGGGUCUGGUGUUCCUCUACUUUUAAGACUCCUCUCUGAGGUUUCCACCAAUAUAUAUUAAACAUCCAUUCAUGCUCAAAAAAAAAAAAAAAAAAAAAAAAAAAAAAAA